This 329-nucleotide ribosomal RNA is filed under the name uncultured bacterium. Its description in RNAcentral is "bacterial SSU rRNA". It matches the Rfam family "Bacterial small subunit ribosomal RNA", at positions 30 to 355 of the family's 1533-position model. The record is from RNAcentral.
AUUGAACGCUGGCGGCAUGCCUUACACAUGCAAGUCGAACGGCAGCACGGGAGCAAUUCCUGGUGGCGAGUGGCGAACGGGUGAGUAAUAUAAUCGGAACGUGCCCAGUAGUGGGGGAUAACCCGGCGAAAGCCGGACUAAUACCGCAUACGACCUACGGGUGAAAGCGGGGGAUCGCAAGACCUCGCGCUAUUGGAGCGGCCGAUAUCAGAUUAGCUAGUUGGUGGGUAAAAGCCUACCAAGGCGACGAUCUGUAGCUGGUCUGAGAGGACGACCAAGCCGACACUGGGGACUGAGACACGGCCCAGACUCCUACGGGAGGCAGCAGU